CGGCUGGGCCCGCCUCCUUGAGCCAAAGCCCCUAAUGAGGCCAGCUCAGGAAGAUUCCUCUGGACCAGUCUCAGCCUCAGCAGGAGGGACGGACAGGGACUUUGGACAAGACUGAGGCUCUGAGAGGUUGUGGAGGUGUCACCCAGCUGGAUAAGGGUCAGAAAUAAGAUGGAAAGUAUUCCGAUCUCUGUAAUGACAAUACCCAGCACUUACACAGAACCUUCUACGGGACCCGCACGGCACAUCUAUUCACUCAUUCAAUCCUCCAGCAACCCACGAGGGCAGGACUGUCGCUGUCUUGGUGCCACACGCGAGGAAACUGAGGCACAGAGAAAGAAGCUCGCCAAAGCUUUGUGAGCCAGGAGGCAGGAGGAUGGACGACGCACUGGAGGCCUGAUCAGAUGGCGAAAGGGAGGAAGAAACCAGAGCCACUUGUCUCCUUGAUCUCUGGGAUGGAAGCCACCUUCAGACUUGCUCCUGGAAUCCUGAGCUACCCUGCAUCUGUCCUGACUUUUGGAAGCCCCAGACACAGGAGAGGCCACACACAGACAUUCAGGUUGACCAUCCCAGCGGAGCCCAGACUUUGAGUCAGCCUGGCCAAGGCGUCAGGCAUGUGGGUGAAGAACAUUCCAUGUGAUUCCUGUCUUCCAUUCAAGUCACCCCCAGCCACCUGAGUCUUCCAGCUGAGAUCCCAAACUGUGGAGCAGAGACAAACCAUCCCUGCUGUGCUUUCUCUGAAUUCCUGACCUACAG
RNAcentral lists this long non-coding RNA (753 nucleotides) under Equus caballus (horse). RNAcentral describes it as "lncRNA (ENSECAG00000046811.1)". The record is from RNAcentral. Lineage: Eukaryota; Metazoa; Chordata; Mammalia; Perissodactyla; Equidae.